Protopterus annectens (West African lungfish) is the source of this 272-nucleotide long non-coding RNA. RefSeq lists it as uncharacterized. The transcript has 5 exons. The record is from RefSeq and is a predicted model, not a curated record. NCBI's taxonomy places the organism in Eukaryota, Metazoa, Chordata, Ceratodontiformes, Protopteridae.
AAGCGUGUCAGUCACUGUGGUUGUCUGUGUGUUAAAAAGCCUCUCUGGUAGUUCCACUCUCUAGCAAAUUCUUUUUGAGCAGUUGAAAGAAGAGGUCGUCUCAGUCAUCAUUUCAGUACAGGAAGGACCAGCUAGUACCAUGCUAAUUCCAGCUAUUAUAUUUAUUUCAUACUGUGUAACAAGUGUCUCUGCAGAAAGUGUAACAAGUGUCUCUGGAAUAAGUCUAACAAGUGUCUCUGCAGAAAAUGUAACAAGUGUCUUGGCAGAAUGUA